This 2289-nucleotide long non-coding RNA is filed under the name Homo sapiens (human). RNAcentral's name for it is "HSALNT0037350". The record is from RNAcentral. Lineage: Eukaryota; Metazoa; Chordata; Mammalia; Primates; Hominidae.
GAACAAUUCCUUCCUAGACUGGUGGGACCAUGAAGCUCAGGCACCUCUCCUAGCCAACCAGAAUUUCCCUCAACUGAGAACCAGGCCAGUGGAGGUGCAGGACCCAAGAGGAAUCCUUCCUCAUGUAUCCAUAUGAACUCAGAAAUGGGGAAGGUGUCUCAAGCUGGUCAUGAACCCAAAGAUCAGGAUCCCAUCUUGGAUACCACAUUACCUUAAACACUGCCUCAGCCAGGUGAUCAAGGUCAACGUCUACUGUGAUAAGUCAUGGUUUUGGUGUGUACCCUUGAUGUGAUGUGAUAAAAAUGGCACUUUACCUCUGUGGUCUUCCUCUGAAAAAUCCCGUAACAGCAGCCUAAUCAUGAGAAGCAUAUCAACAAAACUCAGACUCAGGGACAUUCUACAAAAUACCAGGCUGUCCCUCCCUGAAAUUGUCAAGUUCACCAAAAACAAGGUGAAUCUAAGAAACCUGUUACAGCCAAGAGGAGCCUAAGAAGACAUGAGGACUAAAUAUAACAUGGAAUUCGGGAUAGGAUUGUGCUACAGAAAAUGUAUGUGCUAAUGUGAGAUGUUAACAGUUGGAGAAACUCAGUUUUGGGUAUAAGGAAUUCUCUGUACUAUGUUUAUCUAAAAACAAUUCCAUGGUGAGCAAACUUAAGCAUAGAAAUGUUAAAUAAAUUGUCCAAAAUAGAGAAGUAAAUAGCAGUGCCAGGUUUCAAGCAUAAGAAUCAUCAACUCUGAACUUUAAACACAGCUCUGUAUGGUACUUUUGUUUAUAUCAAUGCCUAGAUAGAUAAAUAGGUAGAUAGAUAAUUUCCAAGUGCUAGAAACAAAAAAGGAACUAAAACUGAUAAAGAAUAUAAAUGAGGCCAGGCAGGGUGGCUCACACCUGUAAUCCCAGCAUUUUGGGAGGCCGAGGCAGGCAGAUCACUGAAGGUUCGGAGUUCAAGACCAGCCUGGCCAACUGGGGAAACCCUGUCUCUACUAAAAAAAAAAAAAAAUAGCCAGGCAUGGUGGCAUGUGCCUGUGAAGCAAGAGAUGUGAGAGGAAAAACAAAUUUUUCCUCUUUCUUUUGGUAUGGGCAGCUUCCCCCUUGAAUCCCUCCUCACUCCUUGUGAUUUUACCCUGCUCUGUAAGUUUUAUGAGUUUAUAGAUUCCUGUUUUCUGUAACUAGUGUCUGUAAGUCUCUGUAGCACCGUGGAGGUAAUGAGACAUGCUUGAGCAAGCUUAGAUUGCAGCCAUCUGGGCGCCAUAGCGAAGGACACGAGAUAAGGCUGUGCAGGCAUCUUGAGCAAACCUAGAUAACAGCCACCUGGCCUGCACAGCAAGAAUCAUGUGUAAGCUUGAGUUAGGAACCUGUCACAGUUUGAUUAACUGCCUUUGUUCUGCUUCUGUAAGCUUGCUUUCCACACCCCACAAGCUUUGCGCCACUGGCAAGCCACCCUCCUUCAGUUGCAUGAAUAAAAGUCAAGCCCUGUCUUCUUUUGUUGCUCAGCCUCUGGAUAUUAAUCCACUAAGCCAGUGGCAACCUAAAUAAAAUCCUCCUGUUCCACCCAUCUGGUCUCUCCAGUCUCCUCAUUCCUGCAACACCUGCAAUCCCAGCUACAUGGGAGGCUGAGGCAGGAGAAUCACUUGAACCUGGGAGGCAGAGGGCACAGUGAGCCAAGAUGGUGCCACUGCACUCCAUCCUGGGUGACAGAGAGAGACUCAGUCUCAAAAAAAAAAAAAAAAAGAAUAUAAGUGAAUGUUGACCUCAUGGGGACUCACUGGUGUUUCAGACAUCAAGACUAUAGGCUAGAGUUCAAGACCCAGUGAGGAGAUGUGAUAUGAUUUUGUGUGAGGCAAGCAUCAAAAGCAGACACCUGUGUGUAAAGCCCAGAGAUCUGAAGAGCUAACCUGUCUGUGAAAAGGGAAUUAGAUAAAACACAGGCUACCAGUUCACAGAUGCUAGAGAGAGCUUGCUGUCAGCCUAGGGGGAAUUCUCACCAACUGAAAAAUUCCUAUCAGUGUUCAAUGACAUACGACAUUCAUAGAGAUUCUGAAUUGCCCAAGGAGUUUCCAAAUUGUAAUUCUAAUCCAUGAGUUUUGGGCAAUUUAGUGGCUUUGUGAUAAGAAAGGGGAAAUGCAAAACUUCUCUUGUAAGACUCGUGGUGUGAGCUGGUCCUGAAGUUCUUGAUCAUUUUGUUAGCACCCAAACUGGUUUGUCAACAAACUUUGAGAGUCAAAAGCUUGAGAGACAUGCACAUCAAAGACCAUGACAAAAAGGGAAGAAAAGCAACAACAGCACAGAAG